Molecule: transfer RNA, 88 nt
Filed under: uncultured Phycisphaerae bacterium
Lineage: Bacteria; Pseudomonadati; Planctomycetota; Phycisphaerae
Description: tRNA-Ser-TGA
Rfam family: tRNA
About the family: Transfer RNA (tRNA) molecules are approximately 80 nucleotides in length.
Source: RNAcentral
GGAGGGGUGGCAGAGCGGCCGAAUGCACCGGUCUUGAAAACCGGAGACGGGCAACCCCCGUCCGCGGGUUCGAAUCCCGCCCCCUCCG